Molecule: long non-coding RNA, 251 nt
Organism: Aedes aegypti (yellow fever mosquito)
Lineage: Eukaryota; Metazoa; Arthropoda; Insecta; Diptera; Culicidae
Exons: 2
Source: RefSeq, a predicted model, not a curated record
UUAACGUAAAGUCAAGCAGCAAGACCGACUCACAAACAUCAGAAACGAAUCAGCUUCAGAUGAAUCUGGUACCGGAAAGAUUCUUUAGUCAAUCGGGGAACGGCCGUUCAAAUGCUCGUAUUCAACUGGACCAUACUAUUUGCAUCACUCGUGAAAGUAAAUGAAAUCCUGCGGUGAUUCAACUCACUGUGCUAUGUUGAAUAAAUUUGUAAUGGCUAUCGGUUGAGUGUAAUAAAUAUUUGAUCUCUUAA